CAAGGACCAGGAGCGGAAGCCGAGCCUCGCGGCCCGGGGCACGGCGCCGCCCGCCCCUCCCCGGCAGUGCCUCCCGACCCCCUGCCCGCCGCUGGGACACGGCCUGAGGCCCCGCCCGCCGCCCGGGACCCCUCCCGCCCGCUGCCCUGGGACCCUCGCCCCAGGACCGCGGGGUCUCCUCCCGGUUCCGCCGCCCGCCCCGGCGAGAACAGGCCCGGCGGGCAAGGCGGCGGCGGACCAAGGGAGGCCUGGCCCGGCAGCGGGGAGAAGGGCGCGGCGCAGCCUGAGUUUCCCACCUUUCCUCCUGGCCCAGACGCGGCUGGGGCGGACGGGACCUCUCGCGCUCUGCCUCCUCUUCUUGCUUCAUGGAGCCAUGCGCCUGGGUGGGGGCUCCCGAGAGAAGCUGGCCUGCGGGCGGGCCGGACGCGCUGCGCGGACGGGGCGGGGCGAAGGAGGCCGGCGGGCGGAGGAGGAAGCGGCGGGGCGGUGGCGGCGGCGGCCGGGAAGAACUAGAGGUAUUCCCCGGGCGGCUGGAGGACUGAGUCGAGCCGGGACCCGAGUCCUCCGGUAUCCCAGCAGCCACCGGAGGCAGUGAGGUAAUGGAGGAAGAAUGUAGGGAGUCCUCCAGUGGACCAUACUCCCUCUAGCGAGCCGCGGAAACCAUAGAGAUCAGGGCUCAGACGGAGGGCCGGCCCACUGCUGUCACGUGGCCCCCAACCGUGCGCUUUAUUGGCUGGUGCUGGCUCUACGGGGUUGAAUUUUGGACGCUGCCUGCCAUUCGUGGGGCCGAGUUUCAGGCAGCUGGAAUAAAGAGAGACAUCGGUGGAAAGCCGCGAGAAGGCCAGCGUCCCUGGCUGGGAGCAGAGCUAGCCGAGUAGGGCGCCCGGCUGUCAAACUGGCCGGCGCCGUGGACGCUGGGCCGCCCCGGAGCGGUCGCAGAGUCUGCCGGGAGUCGUAGUCCGGGACGGGCUCGCGGCAUUGUCCGCGACGCAGCUUGGGAUCCGGGUCGGGUUGUCGGCUGGGUUGCUGCCGGGCACCGUAGCGCGUUAGCCACCCAGCAUUGAGCUGCCAGCGGCUGUUCUCCCUAAGCACCCUCGCUCACGUCGCCUCGUCUCGCCUCGCCUGACCGGCCGCAGCCUUGGAUACCAGCCUUAAAUCGAGCCGACGACGGCCCAGCCCCGCCUGCGGCGAGGUGCGCGGGAUUCGGUGCCAGCCGCUCGCCCCUGGCCGGGCCAGCCUCUUGAUGCACCGGGGACGGGCGCGCCCAUCCGACUCUUCGAGGGGCGGCAGGGCCCUAUCUGUGUCUUUCGCUCGCGAGCCCCCAGCUAGAGUUGGCUUCAGCGGAAUACCUACUGUGCAGGAUUAUUCAACAAGCCGAUUGAUCACAUUCUUCAGCUCUAGCAGUGCAAAGGCUUUACUGAAAAAGAACAUUACAAAUUUUUUUUGAAAGAAAUUUGGGGGUAAAUUUAAUUUUAAAUACUGAUUUUUGAUAACAUUUGAUCUUAUGACAGCAUUUGUAUUUUUAAUUACAGAUAGGAUUACACUAAAAGUCAUUUCUGACCUGCUCCCUUACCCUUAUGGCUAAAAUAAACUGUUAGGCCCUGAAGCAAAGGCGAGCCAUGUUCUAGAGCAGUGUCUUUCUUGUAUUAAAAUACGGCCCCAUGCUCACAUAUAG
Molecule: long non-coding RNA, 1675 nt
Filed under: Pongo abelii (Sumatran orangutan)
Lineage: Eukaryota; Metazoa; Chordata; Mammalia; Primates; Hominidae
Description: lincRNA
Source: RNAcentral